CAGUUCAGAGAACUGACCACUAGGUGGCAGAAGCGCUCCUUCUGCUAACUCAGCCUCUCCUGGUGUGGGCUGUAAUUAGGUCAGUGUAAGUUAAAGUAGGGCUGAGAGAUGAAUAAAGUAGAUUUUCUCCUCUAGAACACACUGCAGUUUAAUUUCACUUCUUUCUACAGUGUGCGAUGAAGGUGGACUUAACUUUUAAAGGCAAAGAGACAAACCACUGCCAGGAUAAAUGAGAAGACGCAGAGGGGGCAACUGGCACCACACAGGAGAGGAAAUGCUUUCUGGCUGGUUCCUAAUUUUCAUAUCCGGGUUAUCGUCAGAAAUCAUUUUCAGAGGAGCUGUCAGUUGCUUGCUUCAGAACUACAUUUCACAGUCUUGUCCUCUCCUCGUGUCCACACUGCGAUACUAGCAACUGCUGAGGAUGCUGUGUGUCUCU
RNAcentral lists this long non-coding RNA (436 nucleotides) under Mus musculus (house mouse). RNAcentral's name for it is "predicted gene, 47710". The record is from RNAcentral. Lineage: Eukaryota; Metazoa; Chordata; Mammalia; Rodentia; Muridae.